Molecule: long non-coding RNA, 1672 nt
Organism: Peromyscus eremicus (cactus mouse)
Lineage: Eukaryota; Metazoa; Chordata; Mammalia; Rodentia; Cricetidae
Exons: 2
Source: RefSeq, a predicted model, not a curated record
GACAAGGAGAUGGGGCCUCAGCAUAACUGACUUAAUCACUGUUGGAUAAUAAUUGACAGGACAACACCUAAACCUACUGCUCCAAAUUCCUAAUCUGCAGAGAGUCCUGACUUUUGUCCAGUCUCUCCCUCUGACGUCAUCUACAUUCUUAUGAGGAACUGUUUCCUGUGUGAGAGACAUCCAUGGGUCCCAAGUUUUACCUUUCCGGUUUUCACACUUGUCUUAGUCACUGCUCUGUUGCCAUGGAGACACCAUGACCACCGCACCGCUUAAAAAAGAAAGCACUGAAUUGGUGGCUCACUUAUGGUUUCAGAGGUUUAGUCCACGAUCAUCAUGGCGGGAGCAUGGCAGCAGCCAGCAGAGGGCAGCAUGUCCCAGAAGUUGAAGGAGAGGCCCCUUGGAAGAGCUAUAAUACACACUAACUUGAGCUUGUGUUCCACCAGAUUCUGGAAUGAAGGAGAAGAAAGGCAAAAAGGCACAGUUCUGCCCAAACCCCGCCGCUGAGAGCCUGCGAACCAUCGACAGGCAGGGGCAUUGAGAGCCUGGAGGUCAUCGGGCACUCGGGAGCCAUGGAGAUGAAGUCAUCAGCGUGUAUAGAUUCUGAAUGCAAAGCCAGGAGAUGAAGACAAGCGAGGGCAGAAGGUUAGGCUUAUCGCCCUAAUGUAGGAUUGGUGUGGACCGCAUGGUGAUCAUCACUGCUUGACAAAGCUCCAGCAUUUCGCCUUUCGGAUCACACUUCUCCAGCAGCCUCUUCCUUUCCUUUGUAAUGAUUCCCACUGUGUGUUGUGGGAGUUCCCUUAGGCCUUUUCCUGUGGGAAAUUUUGUGUGGGCUUUGAAGGGUGAAAACGUAUAAAAUAGCAGCCUCUUUAAGCAAUAUAUAGAGGCUGGAGGGAGAUGGAGUCUUCUCUGCUCCAGUGUGCCGACCUGUCACAUUUUCAGACAUGUAAUUAAAGUAUGCUCUGUUCCCAGGACAAAAAAAAAAAAAAAAAGCAAUAUACAUAAUUCUUGGGGAAAAAAAUCCCCGCCACCAUGGAACCAUAUGGUGUGAUGACUCUUGCACACAGGAAUCCCAUUGUGCCCUCCUGAUUACACCAAGAACAGGAAUGUUAGAGAUUUACUAGACACACCUGAUCCCAGGGAUGAAACACCUACAGCUCAGAUCGAGAGCUUGAAGCCAUUAAGGGCAAGAGUUCAGUUAAUAAGCACAGAGAAAUCAGAAUGGUACGGUAUAAUGGGAAAAGAAUAAGACAUCAGGACCUUCCCCUUUGGUGGCAUAUGAGGGGAACAGGCCCAUAUAGUAAGACUAAGACACAAAGGGAUGUGAUUAUGGACCAGCUCAGUAUUUAUGCUGUAUCGUGCCCCGUGAAGAAUGAAAACGGCUUUAAAUUGUAGUGGUGUGUCUGAUCCCCAGAGGAAGUCUUUUUCCCAAGGUCAGGCAUUCGGAUAAGGGUCCCCAUGCCCUCAGGGGCUUGAGGAAAGUUCCUGCUUGCUAAAAGCAGUCAUUUUCCUUAUCUCUGGCAGGAGGAACUUGUGGUCCUUCCAUUGAUGUAAGAGUGCCUUGGUGGAGCUACUGAACCUUUGGGAACAAUAAGCAUUUAGAUACUUGCUGAACUUAACUUUUGUCUCGGGGAAAAAUGCUGUAAUAAAGUUAAUGGCUGCUUUCAUCCUUGAA